CAGUCGCCACGGUAAUACGUAGGGUGCGAGCGCUAAUCGGAAUUACUGGGCGUAAAGCGUGCGCAGGCGGUUAUAUAAGACAGAUGUGAAAUCCCCGGGCUCAACCUGGGACCUGCAUUUGUGACUGUAUAGCUAGAGUACGGUAGAGGGGGAUGGAAUUCCGCGUGUAGCAGUGAAAUGCGUAGAUAUGCGGAGGAACACCGAUGGCGAAGGCAAUCCCCUGGACCUGUACUGACGCUCAUGCACGAAAGCGUGGGGAGCAAACAGGAUUAGAUACCCCAGUAGUCCCUGUCUCUUAUAC
This 301-nucleotide ribosomal RNA is filed under the name uncultured bacterium. RNAcentral describes it as "partial 16S ribosomal RNA". It matches the Rfam family "Bacterial small subunit ribosomal RNA", at positions 509 to 807 of the family's 1533-position model. The record is from RNAcentral.